This 513-nucleotide ribosomal RNA is filed under the name uncultured bacterium. RNAcentral describes it as "partial 16S ribosomal RNA". It matches the Rfam family "Bacterial small subunit ribosomal RNA", at positions 28 to 507 of the family's 1533-position model. The record is from RNAcentral.
GACGAACGCUGGCGGCGUGCUUAACACAUGCAAGUCGAACGAGAGCGUAGAGAAAGCUUGCUUUUUCUACAAUCUAGUGGCAAACGGGUGAGUAACGCGUAAACAACCUGCCCUACGGAUGGGGACAACAGCUGGAAACGGCUGCUAAUACCGAAUACGUUCCGAAAGUCGCAUGACUAUCGGAAGAAAGGAUGGCCUCUAUUUAUAAGCUAUCGCCGGAGGAGGGGUUUGCGUCUGAUUAGCUAGUUGGAGGGGUAACGGCCCACCAAGGCGAAGAUCAGGUGCCGGGCUGAGGAGGUGAACGGCCACAUUGGAACUUGGGCACGGGCCAGGCUCCUACGGGAGGCAGCAGGGGGGGAUCUUCCGCAAUGGGCGAAAGCCUGACGGAGCAACGCCGCGUGAGUGAAGACGGCCUUCGGGUUGUAAAGCUCUGUUAUACGGGACGGAUAAUCUGGUGGUUAAUACCCAUGAGAAGUGACGGUACCGAAAGAGAAAGCCACGGCUAACUACGUG